This 439-nucleotide ribosomal RNA is filed under the name uncultured bacterium. Its description in RNAcentral is "partial 16S ribosomal RNA". It matches the Rfam family "Bacterial small subunit ribosomal RNA", at positions 339 to 795 of the family's 1533-position model. The record is from RNAcentral.
CUACGGGUCGCACCAGUGAGGAAUAUUGCACAAUGGGGGGAACCCUGAUGCAGCAACGCCGCGUGGAGGAUGACGCAUUUCGGUGUGUAAACUCCUUUUAUAUGUCAAGAAAAUGACGGUAGCAUAUGAAUAAGCACCGGCUAACUCCGUGCCAGCAGCCGCGGUAAUACGGAGGGUGCAAGCGUUACUCGGAAUCACUGGGCGUAAAGGACGCGUAGGCGGGUUGGAAAGUCAGGUGUGAAAUCCUACAGCUUAACUGUAGAACUGCACUUGAAACUUCUAAUCUAGAGUAUGGGAGGGGGAGAUGGAGUUAGUGGUGCAGGGGUAAAAUCCGUAGAUAUCACUAGGAAUACCUAAAGCGAAGGCGAUCUCCUGGAACAUUACUGACGCUAAGGCGUGAAAGCGUGGGGAGCAAACAGGAUUAGAUACCCUUGUAGUC